UACGGAGGAUGCGAGCGUUAUCCGGAUUUAUUGGGUUUAAAGGGUGCGUAGGCGGGAUGCCAAGUCAGCGGUAAAAAUGCGGUGCUCAACGCCGUCGAGCCGUUGAAACUGGCGUUCUUGAGUGGGCGAGAAGUAUGCGGAAUGCGUGGUGUAGCGGUGAAAUGCGUAGAUAUCACGCAGAACUCCGAUUGCGAAGGCAGCAUACCGGCGCCCUACUGACGCUGAGGCACGAAAGCGUGGGUAUCGAACAGG
Molecule: ribosomal RNA, 252 nt
Filed under: uncultured bacterium
Lineage: Bacteria
Description: partial 16S ribosomal RNA
Rfam family: Bacterial small subunit ribosomal RNA
Source: RNAcentral